This 439-nucleotide ribosomal RNA is filed under the name Staphylococcus aureus. RNAcentral's name for it is "bacterial SSU rRNA". It matches the Rfam family "Bacterial small subunit ribosomal RNA", at positions 1 to 429 of the family's 1533-position model. The record is from RNAcentral. Lineage: Bacteria; Bacillati; Bacillota; Bacilli; Caryophanales; Staphylococcaceae.
UUUAUGGAGAGUUUGAUCCUGGCUCAGGAUGAACGCUGGCGGCGUGCCUAAUACAUGCAAGUCGAGCGAACGGACGAGAAGCUUGCUUCUCUGAUGUUAGCGGCGGACGGGUGAGUAACACGUGGACAACCUACCUAUAAGACUGGGAUAACUUCGGGAAACCGGAGCUAAUACCGGAUAAUAUUUUGAACCGCAUGGUUCAAAAGUGAAAGACGGUCUUGCUGUCACUUAUAGAUGGAUCCGCGCUGCAUUAGCUAGUUGGUAAGGUAACGGCUUACCAAGGCAACGAUGCAUAGCCGACCUGAGAGGGUGAUCGGCCACACUGGAACUGAGACACGGUCCAGACUCCUACGGGAGGCAGCAGUAGGGAAUCUUCCGCAAUGGGCGAAAGCCUGACGGAGCAACGCCGCGUGAGUGAUGAAGGUCUUCGGAUCGUAAA